Molecule: long non-coding RNA, 242 nt
Filed under: Ricinus communis (castor bean)
Lineage: Eukaryota; Viridiplantae; Streptophyta; Magnoliopsida; Malpighiales; Euphorbiaceae
Description: long non-coding RNA (RCOM_LNC001946)
Source: RNAcentral
UAUACUCUACCGAUUCCUCAGAAGAAUCCUCUCCAGACUCUGAUUAUGAUACAAUUCCGAUCUUAAUGAUUGAUCUUCCUAUGGAAAGUGAAGAAGACAUACCAGCAAAUGUGAUGCAACAUCCACUCUCUCCGUCAUCGAUUCCCCAAUUGUCUCAGCUUGCUAUCGAAAAGAUACCUCCAGUGUCUUAUGUUCCUAUACAAGUGUUAUCUUCAAAGUAUUCGAACCUAUUUCAGUCUUAU